CAGACCAGGACACAUAUCCUUGUGAGCUCCUUGGUCAUCAGCUGGUCCAUCACCGAGAUUAUUAGGUACUCCUUCUUUGGCAUGAAAGAGUUGUUCGGAUCUGCCCCGUCGUUGCUUCUAUGGCUUAGUCGAACCUGUAUGUUCCUAGUCAUGUACCCAGUUGGCAUCAACAGCGAGGUUGGCUCGAUAUACAUUGCCUUGCAGUUCAUCAAGGCAUGGGAGAAGUACCGCAUCAGAAUGCCCAACAAAUGGAACUAUUCAUUUGAUUACUUCUACGCAUCAAUCCUGGUACUCCUAGUCUAUGUUCCAGGAAGCCCACAUAUGUACACCUACAUGCUUGGGCAGCGCAAGAAGGCGCUUGCAAAAUCAAAG
This 372-nucleotide ribosomal RNA is filed under the name Triticum aestivum (bread wheat). Its description in RNAcentral is "partial small subunit ribosomal RNA". The record is from RNAcentral. Lineage: Eukaryota; Viridiplantae; Streptophyta; Magnoliopsida; Poales; Poaceae.